This 467-nucleotide ribosomal RNA is filed under the name uncultured bacterium. RNAcentral describes it as "partial 16S ribosomal RNA". It matches the Rfam family "Bacterial small subunit ribosomal RNA", at positions 28 to 506 of the family's 1533-position model. The record is from RNAcentral.
GACGAACGCUGGCGGCGCGCCUAACACAUGCAAGUCGAACGGAGCUGAGAGAAGCUUGCUUUUCUUAGCUUAGUGGCGAACGGGUGAGUAACGCGUGAGUAACCUGCCCUGGAGUGGGGGACAACAGUUGGAAACGACUGCUAAUACCGCAUAAGCCCACGAUCCGGCAUCGGAUUGAGGGAAAAGGAUUUAUUCGCUUCAGGAUGGACUCGCGUCCAAUUAGCUAGUUGGUGAGGUAACGGCCCACCAAGGCGACGAUUGGUAGCCGGACUGAGAGGUUGAACGGCCCCAUUGGGGAGGAGACACGGCCCAGACCCCUACGGGAGGCGGCAGGGGGGGAUAUUGCACAAGGGGGGAAACCCUAAUGCAGGGGCGCCGGGUGGAGGAAAAAGGUUUUCGGAUUGUAAACUCCUGUCGUUAGGGACGAUAAUGACGGUCCCAAACAAGAAAGCCCCGGCAAACUACGG